This 254-nucleotide ribosomal RNA is filed under the name uncultured bacterium. RNAcentral describes it as "partial 16S ribosomal RNA". It matches the Rfam family "Bacterial small subunit ribosomal RNA", at positions 524 to 776 of the family's 1533-position model. The record is from RNAcentral.
UACGGGGGGGGGCAAGCGUUGUUCGGAAUUACUGGGCGUAAAGGGUUCGUAGGUGGCUUGCUAAGUCAGACGUGAAAUCCCUCAGCUUAACUGGGGAACUGCGUCUGAGACUGGUGAGCUUGAGUGCAGGAGAGGAACGCGGAAUUCCAGGUGUAGCGGUGAAAUGCGCAGAUAUCAGGAGGAACACCGAUUGCGAAGGCAGCUCGCUGGGACGUAACUGACGCUGAGACGCGAAAGCGUGGGGAGCAAACAGG